AGGGAUAAGUGCUGAAAGCAUCUAAGCAUGAAGCCCCCCUCAAGAUGAGACUUCCCAUCUAUUCGAUAGAGUAAGAUCCCUCAGAGACGAUGAGGUAGAUAGGUUCGAGGUAGAAGCGUGGUGACAUGUGAAGCUGACGAAUACUAAUAGAUCGAGGACUUAACUAU
Molecule: ribosomal RNA, 167 nt
Filed under: Gracilibacillus orientalis
Lineage: Bacteria; Bacillati; Bacillota; Bacilli; Caryophanales; Bacillaceae
Description: 23S rRNA. Bacterial LSU
Rfam family: Bacterial large subunit ribosomal RNA
Source: RNAcentral